CCUACGGGUGGCAGCAGUGGGGAAUAUUGCACAAUGGGGGAAACCCUGAUGCAGCGACGCCGCGUGAGUGAAGAAGUAUUUCGGUAUGUAAAGCUCUAUCAGCAGGGAAGAAAUAGCGACCUUUGGGUCGCCAGACGGUACCUGAUUAAGAAGCCCCGGCUAACUACGUGCCAGCAGCCGCGGUAAUACGUAGGGGGCAAGCGUUAUCCGGAUUUACUGGGUGUAAAGGGAGCGUAGACGGCAGCGCAAGUCUGAAGUGAAAUGCCGGGGCUUAACCCCGGAACUGCUUUGGAAACUGUGCAGCUGGAGUGCAGGAGAGGUAAGUGGAAUUCCUGGUGUAGCGGUGAAAUGCGUAGAUAUUAGGAGGAACACCAGUGGCGAAGGCAGCGUACCGGCUCCACACUGACGCUGAGGCACGAAAGCGUGGGUAUCGAACAGGAUUAGAUACCCUUGUAGUC
RNAcentral lists this ribosomal RNA (458 nucleotides) under uncultured bacterium. Its description in RNAcentral is "partial 16S ribosomal RNA". It matches the Rfam family "Bacterial small subunit ribosomal RNA", at positions 338 to 795 of the family's 1533-position model. The record is from RNAcentral.